Long non-coding RNA from Sinocyclocheilus grahami, 107 nucleotides. RefSeq lists it as uncharacterized. The record is from RefSeq and is a predicted model, not a curated record. NCBI's taxonomy places the organism in Eukaryota, Metazoa, Chordata, Actinopteri, Cypriniformes, Cyprinidae. The transcript has 3 exons.
AGUGGCAAGUUUACUUUGUAAAUUUUUUCAAAUGUAUCUUCUAUUGUCCCGCAUCAAACAGCUUCUUCCUGCCCUCCAUUCCAGACAUGGCCUCCACAUUCUUACGC